GACGGAGGGGGCAAGCGUUGUCCGGACUCACUGGGCGUAAAGGGUGCGUAGGCGGUUGCGUGCGUCGGCGCUGAAAUCCCUGGGCUUGACCCAGGGGCGCGUGCCGAUACGAUGCGACUUGAGGCUCGGAGAGGGUGGUAGAACUCCUGGUGUAGUGGUGAAAUGCGUAGAGAUCAGGAAGAAUACCCGUGGCGCUAGCGACCACCUGGCCGAGACCUGACGCUGAGGCACGAAAGCGUGGGGAGCGAACCGG
Molecule: ribosomal RNA, 253 nt
Filed under: uncultured bacterium
Lineage: Bacteria
Description: partial 16S ribosomal RNA
Rfam family: Bacterial small subunit ribosomal RNA
Source: RNAcentral